Molecule: long non-coding RNA, 1262 nt
Organism: Trichomycterus rosablanca
Lineage: Eukaryota; Metazoa; Chordata; Actinopteri; Siluriformes; Trichomycteridae
Exons: 2
Source: RefSeq, a predicted model, not a curated record
UUCUGGUCCAGGCUGUAGCUGAUGGUGAAGAUGACAGUGAACAUCUCUCUCAGACCCAGAGACGUUUUUGCUCCCUGCGUCUGGAUCCCGUGCACCACCAUCGGCCGCAGCAAAUCCACCUACCGCAUACAAGCACGUCACUGCAGAUUUGCCGGCUCCUCUGUUGGCAACCUGCUUUUCUCUUCAAACCAUGAUGCCAGGCUCAAUUGGGCCCAGCAUACUCUGGCAUCCCCUAAGCUGCCAAGAACUCUGUUCACAUGGCGCCAGCGUUAGGAACCCUAGCAUUCCUGACUUACCGUGCUGAUGUGAGUGGAUUCUGCAGGAUAUCAGGAACUUGCCCACGGCGUAAGGCUUCAUCACGGCGGUGGUGAAGGUCAUGGGCGUGAUCUCCACGAUGACCUGUCUGUGGUUCAUGACCUUGACGGUGUGAUCCUGGAACUGAAUGGUGUGGAUCUCCGGAGUCGAACCCAGACCGAUCAGGUGCCAGGAAACCUCGGGCGUGGUCAGACAGAGUUUCAGACCUGUAAGGAGAGAGAGACGGUGCGUUAUGAGGAGCGACGGUAAGACGCCUGUAAUCUUGAUGUUUGCUUUGGAUGAAACUGGACCAUUGUGUGGUCAGGCUGUGAGGAAGCAGGUCAGUCGACCCAGACCUGGCAGGGUGGAGUUGGCGUAUCCGUUUAUGGUGUGAAACUGCUGCUGCUCCGGUGAUUUUCGGGGUUUGUCGGCUCUGCCCACCUCCUUGUACCAGCUCCUGCUUUCAUCGAACACGGCAAACAGCAGCACAAACUCGGGCACCUUCCGCCCGCGCUCCUCCGUCAGAGCUCCUGCACGGCAGAGGAAGAGUUAGAGCUUUAAAUUCAGACAUAAACAACCUGAAAUAUCACUGUACAGACAAAAGUAUUGGGACGCCCCUUCUGAUAACUGAAAUGCUGUCCUCAACUCAAUGGGCACAAAUUCCCACAGACAUUAAAGUCUUUAAACUCGUUUGUAAGAUGCUUCUCAGAAGAGCUCUUCCAACAAGCUCAUGGUCAGGCGUCCAAAUACUUUUGGUCAGGUAGUUUUCAUCAAAUCAUAAAAUACCCAGCAGUGCUAUCAGCCGCUCUGCAUCUACAUACAGACAUAACUGGCUAUGUCUAAGUGGGAGAGGGAUCGAGACCCAGUGAUGGAUUGGUGUCCUGUUUGCUAAAUGUAUUAUACAGUAUAAUAUAAUGGUGUAUAUUUAAUUUCUUUUUUAUAUUUUUAUAUUAUAUAUGAUAGUGUUA